Molecule: ribosomal RNA, 515 nt
Filed under: Bipolaris sp. RB2
Lineage: Eukaryota; Fungi; Ascomycota; Dothideomycetes; Pleosporales; Pleosporaceae
Description: bacterial SSU rRNA
Rfam family: Eukaryotic small subunit ribosomal RNA
Source: RNAcentral
UUAAGUAUAAGCAUUAUACCGCGAAACUGCGAAUGGCUCAUUAUAAUACAGUUAUCGUUUAUUUGAUAAUACCUUACUACAUGAGAUAACCGUGGUAAUUCUAGAGCUAAUACAUGCUGAAAAUCCCGACUUCGGAAGGGAUGUGUAUAUUAGUAUACAAAAACCAAUGCCCUUCGGGGCUCUUCUGGUGAAUUCAUGAAUAAACUUUAUCCGAAUCGUAUAGGCCUCCCGCUGGAGACUGGUUCAUACAAAUUUCUGCCCUAUCAACUUUCGAUGCUAGGUAUGGUCCUACCAUGGUCGCAGGGGUGAGGGGAGUGGGGUCUGAUCCCGGAGAGGGAGCCUGAGAAACGGACUACCACAUUCCAAGGGAAGGGCAGCCACGGCGCCGCCAAAUUCACCCCCAAAUCCCCGAACUACGGGGGGGAGGGGUAGUUGAAACAAAUAAAAAUAACUGAAUAACAGGGGCCUCUUUUUGGGGGUCCGAUAAUAGGAAUGAGUACAAUUUAAAAACCUCC